Molecule: long non-coding RNA, 1322 nt
Organism: Agrilus planipennis (emerald ash borer)
Lineage: Eukaryota; Metazoa; Arthropoda; Insecta; Coleoptera; Buprestidae
Exons: 3
Source: RefSeq, a predicted model, not a curated record
AUUUAUUUAUAAAAUAUAUUACAGAAAUUAUCUACACUGUACAAUAUCUGGCGUCUAACAUUCUUUUGUUUUGAAAAUUAUUAAUAAAUAAAAGUACAAAAUUUCCUUUAAUAAUAAGAUACGUACAAUAAUAAUAAUUAAUUAAAAUUAUAUAGCACCAGUCGAGACUAUGAAAUACUAAACAUUAAUAAAAAAUGCACGUAAUUAUUUAUACAAAACACGUCUAAAGAAAACGGGUAACAAGGGCGUUUUGAUUUACCUAACAAUUUUAGCAUACUAUUUUAUUAAAAAAUCAACAUAAACAACUGGCUCUCUAGCUAUAGUAAUAGUAAAAUGCUUAUUCUAAAAGAAUCACAGCUCCCAAUGGCGACGCUAGUGGUGGACUAACAACUCGUAGAAAACACCAAAGACAAUACAAUUGAAGGGUCAUUUUUCUCAUGUUAUUAAUUUUAUUAUUUUUUGUUUCUAGGGAAAAUUUGCACUCAAACUUCGUCCUUCUUUCCCAUCCAUUGUAACGAUCGAUCGUCAGAAUAAUAAGGACUAGAAUAUAACGAUCUGUUUAAAACACAACGUCUUUCGAGUGGGAUCAAAGGAGUGAUUACUAUCGUAUAUAAUAGAAUUAGGAAUGCGAUUCCACAGCCCCAAAACUUAAACGCAGAAGUUCGGAUCCAGAACUUAAGAAUUUCAUACAUUGCAGACGAACAAUGACCUUCGCUCAAAAUUGAAUGAAGAAUAAGAAUCCAAUGGAGAAAGUCGGAUUUAGAAAAUUGGUAUCCCAAGCUCAACACACCAUUCAUUCCACUGAAUAUAGUUCCAAAAAUUAGAAGUAAUAUUCACAUAGAACCAAACAGUUAUAGAAAUUAAAGUGGAAUUUAGCGACCGAAGAAAGAUUUAAAGCGUCAUAACUCGGCUCCAAUUUGCCGCCGUCUGCUGUCCUGACGACAAUGGUUCCAGAUGAUGAGGAAGGAGGAGGUAGAGGAGGAAGAGGAGAAGAAUAGUUGGUCGGUCCAGACGACGACGACGACGACGACGCCGGUUUUGCGUAAACAGAAAUUGUGAAUGAAGAAGGAACGACGCGACGUUGAACAAGACCGCGUCGGAAUUUUAGUGGAAUUUCUCUAAUCGACCUAACAACCGAAGCCAAAACUUAAUUAGCACAAACAUACCUAUUAUACAUAAUACCUACUUGUCGGUUUCAACAAGUGGUCCAAUCUCACCCACUACGUAUUAUUACGUAACUAUUUCACUACCCAAUGGAAUGUAGACGUCCCACGAUCCCAAAUGGAUUGAGAGAAGAAGAUUUGUCUUUAUUAUAGAAAGUU